Rosa rugosa (rugosa rose) is the source of this 330-nucleotide long non-coding RNA. RefSeq lists it as uncharacterized. Lineage: Eukaryota; Viridiplantae; Streptophyta; Magnoliopsida; Rosales; Rosaceae. The record is from RefSeq and is a predicted model, not a curated record. The transcript has 4 exons.
CUCGAGACCUUCAUCUUGCUAAUCUCAUCGUACCUGCUCCAUCCCAAUUUUCCGGCUAUUUUCAACUGCUUCCAACCGUCUCCGAUCUCAUUCUGCUGUCUUUUAAGGUCUGGACUCAUGGCAUCAAGUUCUCGCAAUGGUUUAUCUUCUGGGGUUUGAAUUGAUGGGGUCUUGGAAUGCUAUCCACAUGGACAUCAUGGAGUAGAUAAGGAUUUAGGUCGUCUACAUGGCAGAUAGACUUGGUAAAUACCCUUACGCUAAUAUUGGCCUUAACAAGAGUUGAGAUGAAACUAGAUGGUCCAAAUUUGCCGAUAGAUUGACUCAUUGACA